RNAcentral lists this ribosomal RNA (431 nucleotides) under uncultured bacterium. RNAcentral's name for it is "partial 16S ribosomal RNA". It matches the Rfam family "Bacterial small subunit ribosomal RNA", at positions 29 to 507 of the family's 1533-position model. The record is from RNAcentral.
AACGAACGCUGGCGGCAGGCUUAACACAUGCAAGUCGAGCGCCCCGCACGGGGAUCGGCAGGCGGGUGAGUAACGCGUGGGAACGUACCUUUUGGUUCGGAACAACUCCGGGAAACUGGAGCUACUACCGGAUAAGCCCUAACGGGGAAAGAUUUGUCGCCUAAAGAUCGGCCCGCGUCUGAUUAGCUAGGUGGUGAGGUAACGGCUCACCAAGGCGACGAUCAGUAGCUGGUCUGAGAGGAUGAUCAGCCACACUGGGACUGAGACACGGCCCAGACUCCUACGGGAGGCAGCAGUGGGGAAUAUUAGACAAGGGGCGCAAGCCUGAUCCAGCCAUGCCGCGUGAGUGAUGAAGGCGUUAGGGUUGUAAAGCUCUUUUGUCCGGGAAGAUAAUGACGGUACCGGAAGAAUAAGCACCGGCUAACUUCGUG